GAUGAACGCUGGCGGCGUGCCUAAUACAUGCAAGUCGAGCGAACAGACGAGGAGCUUGCUCCUCUGACGUUAGCGGCGGACGGGUGCGUAACACGUGGAUAACCUACCUAUAAGACUGGGAUCACUUCGGGAAACCGGAGCUAAUACCGGAUAAUAUAUUGAACCGCAUGGUUCAAUAGUGAAAGACGGUUUUGCUGUCACUUAUAGAUGGAUCCGCGCCGCAUUAGCUAGUUGGUAAGGUAACGGCUUACCAAGGCAACGAUGCGUAGCCGACCUGAGAGGGUGAUCGGCCGCACUGGAACUGAGACACGGUCCAGACUCCUACGGGAGGCAGCAGUAGGGAAUCUUCCGCAAUGGGCGAAAGCCUGACGGAGCAACGCCGCGUGAGUGAUGAAGGUCUUCGGAGCGUAAAACUCUGUUAUUAGGGAAGAACAAAUGUGGAAGUAACUAUGCACGUCUUGACGGUACCUAAUCAGAAAGCCACGGCUAACUACGUG
This 497-nucleotide ribosomal RNA is filed under the name uncultured bacterium. RNAcentral's name for it is "partial 16S ribosomal RNA". It matches the Rfam family "Bacterial small subunit ribosomal RNA", at positions 28 to 507 of the family's 1533-position model. The record is from RNAcentral.